GCCUCCAGGUAGGAGCCAUUUCCCUGGGUGUCCGGGGCUGGAGAGACAGAGACAGAGACAGAGGGAAAAAAAAGGUGGAGAAGGCAGGGCACAGAGGACCAGACAGAAACAGAAUUGAGCCAGAAUCUAGGGCUCUGAAGCUCAAUUCCUUUCACUGUAUUUCUGUUUGAGAAGGGAACGAUUCUCCACCAAUAAUUUCAAAGCAGCCUUAAAAGAUAGUGGUUGGACUGGUGGACAUUGUCAUUAACAGUGUAGAAAGGGCCCCUUUUCUGGCAUACUCCUCAGCCUUCGUUGUUGUUUGAUUUCUUAAUGAUGGCCAUUCCUUCUGGAGUAAGAUGGAAUCCCAGUGUUGUUUUUAUUUGCAUUUCUCUAAUUGCCUGUGACGCUGAGGAUUUAAGCAUGUAUUUUUGGCCUUUUUUCUUCUUCUUCAGUGAAGUAUCUAUUCAUUUCAUUUGACCAUUUUAUGAUUUGGUUUUUUAUUUUGGGGGCUCCAAUUUUUUUUAGUUCUUUAUAUAGUCUGGAUAUGAGUCCCCUGUCUCUGUAACAUUGUUUCCCAUCUGUCUUUUCUCUGUUGGUUGUUUAUUUUGCUGUGCAGAAGCUCUUUAAUUUAAUAUGAUCCCAUUUGUUGAUUAUUGGAACUAUUUCUUAUUCAACUGGGGUUCUGUUCAGAAAGUCCUUGUCUAUACCUAUGUAAAAUUCACACAUCAUGUAACUCCAUGUAGACACAGUUUAAAGUGUGCACUUCAGUGGCUUUUGUCCAUUCACAGAGCUGGGCAUCAGCCAUCACAAUCUUAGAGGGUCUGAGUCACCCCAGAGAGAAGGCCAGCACCCCUAGCUGUCUCCCCAGUCCUUGCCUCCCCAGCCCCAAGCAAACACCAACCCACUCUGUCUGCAGAUUUUCCUCAGGCCGUUUGGGCUUUCCUAUCUGGCUUGUCUCGCUCAGCACCUCUUUGCCAGGGGUCACCUGUGUGCAGCUCCAGUCAGAAUGGGGUUCAGCUUCCUGGCUGCAUUAUAACGCAUUGUGUGAAUCUGCCACAUUCUCUGCCUCCAUCCACCCACCAGUUUAGGGACAUCUUGAGUGCCCCAUGAUGCCUUUGAGCCAUUUAUCCUCGUCCACAUUUCUCUCCUGCUGGAACUACUCACCACCGCUGAGCCUUCUUUUGCUCAAAAAUCCAAAAUCCAACCAUCAAUUCUUCCAAGGCUCCUGAGGAUCCGAUGCCCCCUGCUCCUCUCUGUGCCCCCAGUACCUUGGGAUGAGCCGGCCGUGCUUAAAUCCACACAGGACACGGGCUGUUCCGAGCAACACUGCUUCCCGUCAGAGGUGACAUGGAGAGACAGUCUCUCCAGGGGUCUCCCAGAGCGACUCUGUCCUGCUCCUGUCUAGUGGUCUGAGGAAUUUGCCUUGCAGGGACCCUGCACUUCCGCUUCCAGGUGUGAACCCCAGAGCUCUGUUACCUCUGUCCGCUCCUGCAGCCUCCAGCUCCUCCCCAGGGAGAGCCCCUUGAGCUGAUUAGGAGUGAGGACCCAGCCCCGCCCAGGUUUGUGAGUCAGAAUCUCCAAUGUCACUGGAGCCUUAGAAGAUGGUACUCGGCUGAGUAUGGGAAGCAUCGCAUUGGGAAUGGGGGUGCAGGCUCACAGUGGGGUGAUCAGAACCACUGCAGGUACCACCGAGAGCAGAAGGGAGACGUGGACUGUGGCACUUGCCCACAGUGCAAUGGCCCACAGCGGCAGCGACAACGGAUUGAACUCGGGACCUUAUGCUUUUGAGGCAGGCUGUGGAACCACUGAGCUAAAUCCCCAGCCCUACAACUGGAAACCCAGUAUACCGGCUCGGCACUCACAGGACACACUGAGCUGGACAGUCCUCUCCCUGGUCACUCCAGCCUGAGGGAGAGUCACCCGACAGGCAAGCAACUACUCCAUGCAGAGAACCCAAGAUCAGAAAAUGACGCCCAAGCCCUGCUACAUGGACCUUGCCACUCUGAGACUGCAAUUUCUGGACCAUCCACAUCCCAACUGCCCAACUACACUGGUUCUCCUGCCUGGCCCUUCAGGAGUCUCUGCAGCUAGAUCAGGCUCCCAGCUACACAGGAGAAGGAUGGCAGAGGCACAGGGCUGGGACUCCCAAGGCCGUGACAUUGGGAUCUGGAGCUCUGAGGCUGCCAUUUUGAGACUGUUAACACUUUUGUGUUGGGACUUGUGUUUCGGAACUGAAGUCUCAUGGCCUAGUGGAACCCAAAGAGGCGGCCUUGAAAACCUGGUCCCAGGAGUUCGAGCUUCUCCACUUUGCCACCUCCUCCAUCGCAGACAGCUUCUUGGUCCCACCUCAGCCCCCCUGCCACCUGAGUACCCUGGACACAUUUAGGGGUCUUCACUGCCCACCCUGAGCCCCCAGAUUCUUGAAGGCUAAAGAAUGGGAUGUUAACAAGUAAAUUUAAAAAAAAACAGUAUGGAUUUUAGGAUGUAGUUCAGUGGUAGAUCGAUUACCCAGCUUGUGCGAGCCCCUGGUCCCAUCCCUGCACUGAAGAAAUCUAACAAGUAGAAGAAUCCUCCAAAAAUAAAUUAUGUCCUAUCCACAGAAAUGAAUGUUUCUCAGCCACAAAAGGGAAUGGAGUUCUGCUAUGUGCCAUGUUAUAAAACUGGAAAACACUAUACUAAGUGAAAGAAGCCAGACAGAUACUGCAAAAGUCCUGUCCUGUGAAAUAUCCAGAUUAGGCAAGUCUUUUGAGACAGAAAGUAGGUUAGAGGCUCCCUGGGGGAGAGAGGGACUGAGGAGGAGGAAGAGAAAUGACUUCUUGUUGGGUACACUGAGGUUUUCUAUCUGGAGCUGGGGCCCAGCCAUGGCUGCCUGCUGAUGGGCACAUGCUCCGGGCCAGUGACCUGCAUUCUUCAAAAGGGUCCAAAUGGAAAAUUUUAUGCUAUUCCUGUUUCACCACAAUUUAGGGGGUUUUUUUGUACCAGGGCUCAAACUCAGGUCCUUGCACUUGUGAGGCAGGCGGCAGCACCAACAAUUUAUUUUAUUUUAACUGACAAAGGAUAGUUGUAUAUAUUUAUCGGCCACAAUGUGAUGUUUUGAUAAAUGUAUUAUUAAUGAGAUAAUUAAA
Molecule: non-coding RNA, 3104 nt
Organism: Heterocephalus glaber (naked mole-rat)
Lineage: Eukaryota; Metazoa; Chordata; Mammalia; Rodentia; Bathyergidae
Source: RefSeq, a predicted model, not a curated record